Non-coding RNA from Paramuricea clavata, 1176 nucleotides. Lineage: Eukaryota; Metazoa; Cnidaria; Anthozoa; Malacalcyonacea; Plexauridae. The record is from the annotation of a GenBank genome assembly.
CAGUAUUCAAAAAAUGGUUGUUUUUCAUUUCUUUACUCCGACUCCUAUGAUGAACAUGUACGUAAAAAAACUAGGGAAACUACGAUUAUAUAUAGAAACUAAAGUAGGUAAAUUUUUUAUGGGACUCCAUAAAAGGUGAGGAUAUAAGAGUGAGAGAUCGAAAUUGAGUAUAGGAAAGGCAACCCUACACGCGUUUCGACCUAACAGUCUUCUUCAGCAGGGUUUUUUAAAGGGGGGGCGGUGUAUAUAGAAUUUGCAGAGGAGAAGAAAGGAGAGUUUAGGAGUUCGGAAAAUAAUGUGAACUCAGUUGGAUCCUCUACGUAGCAAAAUCCACACCAGAACUAGCUAUAGCUAUCUAUUGGUCAUAUCGUAUCAUUCAUUUACUAAUCUCUGUUAUUAUUGUAUAUUCAUAUAUUUCAAACAAACCGUGCACGGUGUUAUUAUCAUUAUUUUUAUCCCUUAUGUAUCACUAAUUGCCAAACGCCCCUAUCCCUGUCUUAUAAGCUCCUACACCACAACACCAUAUUUGGAUGCAAUCACCUACAGUCACAAGUUUUCCGAACUCCUAUAAACUCUCCUUCCUUCUCCUCUUCAAAUUAUAUCUACCCCCCCCCCUCUUAAAAAACCCUGCUGAAGAGAACUGUUAGGUCAAAACGCAUACCCCUGUACGCUAUUCCUACUCAAUUUCAAUCUCUCGCUCUUAUAUCCUCGCCUUUGAUUGUGUCCCAUAAAAAUUUCACCUAUUUUACUUUCUACGGCCGUGAUUUAAUCGUAGUAACCUAGUUUAACCUAGUUUUUUAUGUACAUAUUCAUCAUAGGAGUCGGAGUAAAGAAAUAAAGAACAACCAUUUUUGGAAUUAUACUGGUCCUCCCAUUAUUUAGGCUACAAGGCCGUAGGAAGCUCUUUUUUAUUGGGGGGGGGCUGAAAGCGAGGGCCGAAGGCCCGAGGAAAUUUUUAAAUUUAGAGUCUCUGAAAUGCCAUUUCCUGGACCCUGCAGUCCACCAUGCCCCCCCCCCUCCAGUUGCUACAUACGGCCCUGGGCUACACGCGGAAAUGCACCGAAUGGCAAAUAAGGAUUACCACUCGAAAAUCUUGCUCGAUAUUUUUUUCGUCCGUUUAUUCUUGCACGAUAAUUUUUUAAAGUUCGAAUUGCUUGCUCGAUAUUUUUUUGGGGA